RNAcentral lists this long non-coding RNA (321 nucleotides) under Trifolium pratense (red clover). Its description in RNAcentral is "long non-coding RNA (TPRA_LNC009200)". Lineage: Eukaryota; Viridiplantae; Streptophyta; Magnoliopsida; Fabales; Fabaceae. The record is from RNAcentral.
UUUCUCAAAAUUUCACACAAUUAAGCAUCUCUUGACUCUUCUUUUACUCAUAAAGAUUUUGUUUUUUUAUAAUAUUUUGAUAUAACUCUUUGUAUGAUAGUCGAGAGAUGAGUUUAUCUGUUUUGCAGCGUGCUAAAAAGUUUCGAUGUUCAGAAUGAUCUUCUGAUCAGGGACUUGGUUUGGAGGACUAUGCUACUCUUCUUUCUUUCUUUUUUUUUUUGGUCAAGUACUCUUCUUUCUUCAUUCUUAGAUUUUUUCUACACCUAUUUUUCUCAACCUUAUUAACUUUUUUUUUUUUUAUUGUAAGUGGAGAAAUUAAAG